RNAcentral lists this ribosomal RNA (425 nucleotides) under uncultured bacterium. RNAcentral's name for it is "bacterial SSU rRNA". It matches the Rfam family "Bacterial small subunit ribosomal RNA", at positions 355 to 796 of the family's 1533-position model. The record is from RNAcentral.
UAGGGAAUCUUGCACAAUGGGCGAAAGCCUGAUGCAGCAACGCCGCGUGGGGGAUGAAUGCCCUCGGGUUGUAAACCCCUUUCAGCAGGGACGAAACUGACGGUACCUGCAGAAGAAGCUCCGGCCAACUACGUGCCAGCAGCCGCGGUAACACGUAGGGGGCGAGCGUUGUCCGGAUUUAUUGGGCGUAAAGAGCUCGUAGGCGGCUCAGUUAGUCGGGUGUGAAACCCCCGGGCUCAACCCGGGGUCGCCACCCGAUACUGCUGUGGCUAGAGUCCGGUAGGGGAGCGUGGAAUUCCUGGUGUAGCGGUGAAAUGCGCAGAUAUCAGGAGGAACACCAGCGGCGAAGGCGGCGCUCUGGGCCGGUACUGACGCUGAGGAGCGAAAGCGUGGGGAGCGAACAGGAUUAGAUACCCGGGUAGUCC